RNAcentral lists this ribosomal RNA (448 nucleotides) under uncultured bacterium. RNAcentral describes it as "SSU rRNA". It matches the Rfam family "Bacterial small subunit ribosomal RNA", at positions 26 to 518 of the family's 1533-position model. The record is from RNAcentral.
AGAGCGAACGCUGGCGGCAGGCUUAACACAUGCAAGUCGAGCGGGCGUAGCAAUACGUCAGCGGCAGACGGGUGAGUAACGCGUGGGAACAUACCUUUUGGUUCGGAACAACACAGGGAAACUUGUGCUAAUACCGGAUAAGCCCUUACGGGGAAAGAUUUAUCGCCGAAAGAUUGGCCCGCGUCUGAUUAGCUAGUUGGUGAGGUAACGGCUCACCAAGGCGACGAUCAGUAGCUGGUCUGAGAGGAUGAUCAGCCACAUUGGGACUGAGACACGGCCCAAACUCCUACGGGAGGCAGCAGUGGGGAAUAUUGGACAAUGGGCGCAAGCCUGAUCCAGCCAUGCCGCGUGAGUGAUGAAGGCCUUAGGGUUGUAAAGCUCUUUUACCAGGGAUGAUAAUGACAGUACCUGGAGAAUAAGCUCCGGCUAACUCCGUGCCAGCAGCCGC